GAUGAAGAACGCAGCGAAAUGCGAUAAGUAGUGUGAAUUGCAGAAUUCAGUGAAUCAUCGAAUCUUUGAACGCACAUUGCGCCCCUUGGUAUUCCAUGGGGCAUGCCUGUUCGAGCGUCAUUUGUACCUUCAAGCCUUGCUUGGUGUUGGGUGUUUGUCUCGCCUCUGCGCGCAGACUCGCCUCAAAACAAUUGGCAGCCGGCGUAUUGAUUUCGGAGCGCAGUACAUCUCGCGCUUUGCACUCAUAACGACAGCGUCCAAAAGUACAUUUUACACUCUUGACCUCGGAUCAGGUAGGGAUACCCGCUGAACUUAAGCAUAUCAAUAAGCGGAGGA
This 336-nucleotide unclassified non-coding RNA is filed under the name soil metagenome. RNAcentral describes it as "partial contains 5.8S ribosomal RNA, internal transcribed spacer 2, and large subunit ribosomal RNA". The stretch from base 1 to 120 matches the Rfam family "5.8S ribosomal RNA", at positions 35 to 154 of the family's 154-position model. The record is from RNAcentral.